GAUGAACGCUGGCGGCGUGCCUAAUACAUGCAAGUCGAACGAGUUCUGAUUAUUGAAAGGUGCUUGCAUCUUGAUUUAAUUUUGAACGAGUGGCGGACGGGUGAGUAACACGUGGGUAACCUGCCCUUAAGUGGGGGAUAACAUUUGGAAACAGAUGCUAAUACCGCAUAAAUCCAAGAACCGCAUGGUUCUUGGCUGAAAGAUGGCGUAAGCUAUCGCUUUUGGAUGGACCCGCGGCGUAUUAGCUAGUUGGUGAGGUAACGGCUCACCAAGGCAAUGAUACGUAGCCGAACUGAGAGGUUGAUCGGCCACAUUGGGACUGAGACACGGCCCAAACUCCUACGGGAGGCAGCAGUAGGGAAUCUUCCACAAUGGACGCGAGUCUGAUGGAGCAACGCCGCGUGAGUGAAGAAGGCUUUGGGUCGUAAAACUCUGUUGUUGGAGAAGAAUGGUCGGCAGAGUAACUGUUGUCGGCGUGACGGUAUCCAACCAGAAAGCCACGGCUAACUACGUGCCAGCAGCCGCGGUAAUACGUAGGUGGCAAGCGUUAUCCGGAUUUAUUGGGCGUAAAGCGAGCGCAGGCGGUUUUUUAAGUCUGAUGUGAAAGCCCUCGGCUUAACCGAGGAAGUGCAUCGGAAACUGGGAAACUUGAGUGCAGAAGAGGACAGUGGAACUCCAUGUGUAGCGGUGAAAUGCGUAGAUAUAUGGAAGAACACCAGUGGCGAAGCGGCUGUCUGGUCUGUAACUGACGCUGAGGCUCGAAAGCAUGGGUAGCGAACAGG
RNAcentral lists this ribosomal RNA (782 nucleotides) under Lacticaseibacillus zeae. Its description in RNAcentral is "bacterial SSU rRNA". It matches the Rfam family "Bacterial small subunit ribosomal RNA", at positions 28 to 776 of the family's 1533-position model. Lineage: Bacteria; Bacillati; Bacillota; Bacilli; Lactobacillales; Lactobacillaceae. The record is from RNAcentral.